CACGUAGUUAGCCGGUGCUUCUUGUGCUGGUACCGUCAUCCACACAGAGUAUUAGCCUGUGCAAUUUCUUCCCAGCCAAAAGAGCUUUACAACCCGAAGGCCUUCUUCACUCACGCGGCAUGGCUGGAUCAGGGUUUCCCCCAUUGUCCAAAAUUCCCCA
This 160-nucleotide ribosomal RNA is filed under the name uncultured bacterium. RNAcentral describes it as "partial 16S ribosomal RNA". The record is from RNAcentral.